CAUGCAAGUCGAGCGGUAACAGGCAUUUUGAUUCAGCUUGCUGAAUCUCGCGCUGACGAGCGGCGGACGGGUGAGUAACGCGUAGGAAUCUACCUAGUAGAAGGGGAUAGCCCGGGGAAACUCGGAUUAAUACCGUAUACGUCCUUAGGGAGAAAGAGGGCUUAGCUUUGAUGCUCUCGCUAUUAGAUGAGCCUGCGUAAGAUUAGCUUGUUGGUGAGGUAAAGGCUCACCAAGGCUACGAUCUUUAGCUGGUCUGAGAGGACGAUCAGCCACAUUGGGACUGAGACACGGCCCAGACUCCUACGGGAGGCAGCAGUGGGGAAUAUUGGACAAUGGGCGCAAGCCUGAUCCAGCCAUACCGCGUGUGUGAAGAAGGCCUUCGGGUUGUAAAGCACUUUAAGUAAGGAAGAAAAGUAAAUUGUUAAUACCAAUGUACCGUGACAUUACUUACAGAAUAAGGACCGGCUAAUUCCGUGCCAGCAGCCGCGGUAAUACGGAAGGUCCAAGCGUUAAUCGGAAUUACUGGGCGUAAAGCGCGCGUAGGUGGUUUAUUAAGUUGGGUGUGAAAGCCCCGGGCUCAACCUGGGAACUGCAUCCAAA
Molecule: ribosomal RNA, 600 nt
Filed under: uncultured Gammaproteobacteria bacterium
Lineage: Bacteria; Pseudomonadati; Pseudomonadota; Gammaproteobacteria
Description: bacterial SSU rRNA
Rfam family: Bacterial small subunit ribosomal RNA
Source: RNAcentral